This 534-nucleotide ribosomal RNA is filed under the name bacterium T-2-0-7G. Its description in RNAcentral is "bacterial SSU rRNA". It matches the Rfam family "Bacterial small subunit ribosomal RNA", at positions 370 to 895 of the family's 1533-position model. The record is from RNAcentral.
AAUGGGGGGAACCCUGAUCCAGCCAUGCCGCGUGUGUGAAGAAGGCCUUUUGGUUGUAAAGCACUUUAAGCGAGGAGGAGGAGCUCUUGGUUAAUACCCAAGAUGCUUGGACGUUACUCGCAGAAUAAGCACCGGCUAACUCUGUGCCAGCAGCCGCGGUAAUACAGAGGGUGCAAGCGUUAAUCGGAUUUACUGGGCGUAAAGCGCGCGUAGGUGGCCAAUUAAGUCAAAUGUGAAAUCCCCGAGCUUAACUUGGGAAUUGCAUUCGAUACUGGUUGGCUAGAGUAUGGGAGAGGAUGGUAGAAUUCCAGGUGUAGCGGUGAAAUGCGUAGAGAUCUGGAGGAAUACCGAUGGCGAAGGCAGCCAUCUGGCCUAAUACUGACACUGAGGUGCGAAAGCAUGGGGAGCAAACAGGAUUAGAUACCCUGGUAGUCCAUGCCGUAAACGAUGUCUACUAGCCGUUGGGGCCUUUGAGGCUUUAGUGGCGCAGCUAACGCGAUAAGUAGACCGCCUGGGGAGUACNGUCGCAAGACU